Esox lucius (northern pike) is the source of this 1439-nucleotide long non-coding RNA. NCBI's taxonomy places the organism in Eukaryota, Metazoa, Chordata, Actinopteri, Esociformes, Esocidae. The record is from Ensembl.
GCUUGGUUAUUUUUUUUUUUUAAAUAUAUAUAUAUAUAUAUAUAAUCAUGCAAACCUUUAGAUUAGUUUUGGAAGUGGUUUUAGGUAGGAGAGUGUGCACCAAUGGCAUGUUUUAAAAUGGGAUCACAACCGCUAUGUAAGUAUGCAUGUCUGUACGUUGUGUUAAGUGUCAGAACACAAAACUAAAUGUUAAAAAGGCUGGUAAUAACAAUACUCAGAACAGGUUAUAUCACACAACCUCUGUCCAGGACCUGUCUCUUAUUCAUCUGUUUAUACUAGCAUGCCUGUCUUUAUAGGAUAUAUCCACUACUCUGGCAAAAAAAAAAAAAAAGGAACUAAUAAUUCAGCAAGUAUUAUUAUUGGAAUUGAUUACAUUAAAAAUAUGCAUGGCCUGAGGAAAACUACCAAGAAAAUUCCAAUCCACCACCAAUCUUUUCAUGGCAUCUGCCCUGUAACAGACUGUUUUCAUGGCGUCUGCCUCGUUACAGACCGUUUUCCUUUAUUCUUAUAUACUGAGAGGCCCUGAGUGAUUUUUUUUCUUCUUCUCAAACUCACAAUAUAUGCCAGUGAACAGAUAUGUACACACAGAUUAACUCUCAAAGCUGUGGGUUUACUUAGAACUCAUUAAAAUGGCUUUUUUCUUUAAGGUGGCACACACAUCACAAAGAGACUCACAUUCGCUAUAGAAAACAUGGCAAGGUCCCUUUACACAAGAAAGCAAGUGUCCAUCCUAAAAGUUACUGCCUAUCAGUGCUCAUUGGGGUAGAUAGGAAUAGAGUCACCCUACUCACAUAACAUGUAGGAAAAACCCCUGCAUUAACUUUUUUUUAAAAUAUAUAUACCCCACAACUAUUGUUUUGAAUAUCCGAACAAAGAUAAGCAGAGAGCAAUGAGUCCCAAAUGGCACACUAUUCCCUAAGUAGGCCCUGGUCACAGUAAGGCACUAUGUAGAGAAAACUGGGCCAUUUCGAACACAGACCUAAAGAUGUCCAAUAGUGUAUAACUACCAACAACACUUCUUCCUUCAUCUCUGUUUCUUUAACCUGUUCCUGUUCUCAUCCUCACUGUCAAAGUACAGUGGUCGCGGCUGGGACAGUGCCGGAGCGCUUUGUGUCACCCGUGACGUUUACAACAUUCUUCUGUCUUCAAAACAAGACGAUUCUUUCACACUGAAGCUAUGCAUACAAUGCUUUAUGUUUCAUAACACCAUUAGUUUAGUUAGCGCAGCCUAAAGAAGACCUGACUAAGUUAAGUUGCUAUUAGAAUUGAACACAUACCAUUAACCAUACACAAACCAUGUUAGUGCUGACCUCUGACCUUCAAUGCGUUUUCACUAAGAUAAAAAUCAAUAAAUAACACCAUUUAAAAACUGGCUACUCUUAAAACAAGGGGAAAUGACAAAGGACUUUUUUUGAUUAGUAAUAAUAGGUUUGUGCUUG